Molecule: unclassified non-coding RNA, 1598 nt
Filed under: Caenorhabditis elegans
Lineage: Eukaryota; Metazoa; Nematoda; Chromadorea; Rhabditida; Rhabditidae
Description: Non-coding transcript of protein-coding gene aat-4
Source: RNAcentral
AUGGGUUCAAUAGAAGGUGUUCCAACAAUUGGAGAUAUUGCCGCUAGUCGGCAUCAAAUGGGACUAUGGUCAUGUAUGAGUUAUGUUAUUGCAAAUAUAAUUGGAGCUGGAAUUUUUAUAACACCCGGACCAAUUCUUCAAUACACAUUUUCCAAUGGAUUAGCUCUUCUUGUAUGGAUUGGAUGUGGAUUAAUAUCACUUAUUGGUGGUAUUUGUUAUAUUGAAUUGGGUACUUCGAUUCACGAUCCUGGAUGUGAUUUUGCAUACACUGUGAGAGAAAAAACUAGGUUUACGUCGGCUGGGAAGGAAUUGCAUUCUCAUUUAUGUGGGUCGGAGUGAUCAUGUCAUUCCCAGCUUCUGCUGCUGUUCAGGCUUUAACUUUUGGUCAAUACAUUGUUGCCGGUAUGGCACCAAUCUGGCCAUUAGAGCAUCCAUGGGAUGGGAUUAUUGAGAAGGGGCUUGGUUUUGCAUUGAUUAUUGUUCUCACAAUUCUAAACUUGUAUGCCAUUGACAAGUAUGCUUCAAAGUUUCAAAUCGUUGUCACUAUUGCAAAAAUGCUGUCUUUAGCAAUUAUCAUUGUUACCGGAUUUUAUUAUUUAAUUUUUAAAGGACAAACCGAGUACCUCGAGCAUCCAUUCGAAGGCUCCAACACUAAUCCUGGACAAAUUUCACUUGCAUUCUACGGAGCUCUGUGGAGUUUUGCCGGAUGGGAUAUUCUCAAUUUUGGAACUCCAGAAAUUCGUAAUCCAAGAAGAACAAUGCCAAUUGCAUUGCUCGGCGGUGUGUCAAUUGUCACCGCAGUCUAUCUUGCAAUGAAUAUUUCCUACAUGACUGUUCUGACACCCGGGCAAAUCAUGAACAGUACUGCGGUGGCUGCAGAUUUUGCACAGAUCACCUUAGGAGGCUUCUCUUAUGCCAUUCCAUUUAUGAUUGCUCUUUUGCUCAUUGGAACUCUUAACAGCAAUAUUUUCUGUGGAUCUAGAUUCACACACGCAGCCGCACGGGAAGGACAUCUUCCCACAUUUCUAUCGUGUAUAAAUGAAGAAUCAAAUAGUCCAAGAGCGGCCCUACUUUUCCAGCUGGUUUGUACAGUUGUUGUUACUUUUAUCGAUACUAACAGCUUAAUCAACUAUGUGUCAUUUGUCAUGUUCGGACAACGUGUAUUCACAAUGACGGCCCUGAUGUGGAUUCGAUAUCGAAAUAUUCCUGUACAUCCAGAUGCGAUUCGGGUUCCACUCAUCUUUUCAUUUCUAUUUUGGCUGAUCACAAUUGCACUGGUAGUAGUGCCUUUUAUCGAGGAGUUUACGCAAACAAUCGUAGGUGUUGGAUUAGUGUUAAUGGGCGUUUUCUUGUAUAUUAUUUUUAUGAAACCCAUGAAACUUCCGGAGUUUUUAAUUAGGUUCAAUGACAGCAUGACACGUAUCACAUGCAAAAUUCUGUUCACCACACCAGAUUUGAAGCAUCACUCUGAAACUAGAACGCUGAAAUCCGAAAACAGUGGAGAGACUGUUGUGACCCGAUUCAAUUACGAAGCAGUUGCCUCACAAGAUGACCGUACAAAACUUCCCACAACUCAUGUUGAUGAGACUGGAUUCUAA